Molecule: RNA transcript, 941 nt
Organism: Setaria italica (foxtail millet)
Lineage: Eukaryota; Viridiplantae; Streptophyta; Magnoliopsida; Poales; Poaceae
Exons: 4
Source: RefSeq, a predicted model, not a curated record
CUGAGUGCGUCUGCGUGCCUGCGCAAGCGCGAGCCUGAUAAAGGCUUUCCACUCUCAGGGGCAGAGCGGCGCCUCCCUCCCCACACCGCGGCGCGAGAGGAAACCCUAGCCGCCGGUGAUGUCGGACCCCUUCUACCCGUACUCCCGCGGCGCCUUGCCGGGCGGCGACGGCGCGCUGCCGCCGCCGCGGUACUCGGACCUUGAGGUCGACCUCAUCGCGGCCCGUUACACCGGCACCCCCCCGCCCUACCCCUCCUCCGCCGACGUCAGCGCCUUCGAUUCGCACGUCGGCGCUUUCGACUCUGGCGUCGGUGCCUUCGACUCCGCACGUCGGCGCUUUCGACUCUGGCGUGGGCGCCUUCGACUCGCACGUUGGCGCUUUCGACUCGCACAUUGGCGCCUUCGACUCGCACAUUGGUGCUUUCGACUCGCACGUUGGUGCUUUCAAUUCGCGCUUCGGUGCGAAGCGAUCCGCGGAAGCUCUCUAUCAUCAAUCUUUUAUGGGAAGUCAUAGUACUGUUGCCCAGAAUGAGGCUUUAUAUUCACCAAAUACUAUGGCUAAACGCCCUAGGCUUGAAAGUAGCCUUCCUAUAUAUCCACAACGACCAGGGGAAAAGGACUGUGCCUUCUAUAUGAGGACCAGAACCUGUAAGUAUGGAGAGGCCUGCAAAUUUGACCAUCCACAAUGGGUUCCAGAGGGUGGGGUUCCAAACUGGAAAGAGGUCCCAAAUGUUGAAGAUUCUUAUCCUGAGCGACCAGGGGAACCUGAUUGUCCUAUGCAAGUUCAACCAUCCAAAGGAAAAGGUGAAUGCACUAGAGGCUGGAACAGACAAAGAAGUAAUCUUUUGUACAAAAUGUUUGCAAACGUAAAACCCCUAUGUGAGGAAAAAAAAUCCAUCGUAUGCCUUGAAAAUAGAAAAAGGAAACUCAUUGUGAUCAAA